GACGAACGCUGGCGGCGUGCUUAACACAUGCAAGUCGAGCGGUAAGGCCCUUUCGGGGGUACGACGAGCGGCGAACGGGUGAGUAACACGUGGGUGACCUGCCCUCAGCUCUGGGAUAAGCCUGGGAAACUGGGUCUAAUACUGGAUAUGACUCCACGGUGCAUGUCGGUGGGGUGGAAAGCCUUGUGCGGCUGAGGAUGGGCCCGCGGCCUAUCAGCUUGUUGGUGGGGUGANGGCCUACCAAGGCGACGACGGGUAGCCGGCCUGAGAGGGCGACCGGCCACACUGGGACUGAGACACGGCCCAGACUCCUACGGGAGGCAGCAGUGGGGAAUCUUGCGCAAUGGGCGAAAGCCUGACGCAGCGACGCCGCGUGAGGGAUGACGGCCU
RNAcentral lists this ribosomal RNA (390 nucleotides) under uncultured bacterium. Its description in RNAcentral is "bacterial SSU rRNA". It matches the Rfam family "Bacterial small subunit ribosomal RNA", at positions 28 to 417 of the family's 1533-position model. The record is from RNAcentral.